GUUCUACUGACUGAAGUGAUCCUAUCUUGUGACUCAUGCAUGGCACGUCUAUAAGUCAAGCUGGAAUCCUCUAAAAUAAGUCACAUGGGAAAAAAUUCUGAUCUUAUUCUAGACGAAGAAUGAAAAGCCAGGAAGCUACAUAACCCAAGUGCAUUUCCAGAAAUCACUAACUUCUGACAUUAUCAGAACUUUGGAUGAAAUAAACACAGGUUUUUGAAUGAAGUAAACAUAGUCUAUCACCAGUUUAAAUUCUUUUCCAAUACUAUUCUUUCAUGAUUCUAUAAAGAUUCUACACAGAAUCUUUCCAACACUAUUACUCAAUAAAUUCUCCAGAAUACUGUUAAUAUACUUACAAAGUGUUGAAUCUUUAAAUUGCUGUUCUCAAUGGGUAAAACUGACUGAUAAAAGCACAUUUAUAAAUGUCAGUUGCCAUAUGGUUUACACUUUUGCUAAUGAUCAAUCACAAGACUAAAUCAAUCAUUGGACAAAUACCAUUAUAAAACUGUGAAAUGUUUACGCCAACUCUCUUCUUCUCUCCCCAAGUAACAUCACUAAUUUGUGCCAAUAUUUACGAACAUUUAACCCAUACUUCCUUUCCUGCUGUAAGAUUCAAAUUUACCAAUUGCAUUUAGAGUGGCUACCUAUUACUUG
This 651-nucleotide long non-coding RNA is filed under the name Homo sapiens (human). RNAcentral describes it as "HSALNT0310180". Lineage: Eukaryota; Metazoa; Chordata; Mammalia; Primates; Hominidae. The record is from RNAcentral.